Molecule: ribosomal RNA, 253 nt
Filed under: uncultured bacterium
Lineage: Bacteria
Description: partial 16S ribosomal RNA
Rfam family: Bacterial small subunit ribosomal RNA
Source: RNAcentral
UACAGGGGGGGCAAGCGUUGUUCGGAAUUACUGGGCGUAAAGGGCUCGUAGGCGGCCAACUAAGUCCGACGUGAAAUCCCCAGGCUUAACCUGGGAACUGCGUCGGAUACUGGAUGGCUUGAAUUCGGGAGAGGGAUGCAGAAUUCCAGGUGUAGCGGUGAAAUGCGUAGAUAUCUGGAGGAAUACUGGUGGCGAAGGCGGCAUCCUGGACCGACAUUGACGCUGAUGAGCGAAAGCUAGGGGAGCAAACGGG